This 253-nucleotide ribosomal RNA is filed under the name uncultured bacterium. Its description in RNAcentral is "partial 16S ribosomal RNA". It matches the Rfam family "Bacterial small subunit ribosomal RNA", at positions 524 to 776 of the family's 1533-position model. The record is from RNAcentral.
UACGGAGGGGGCGAGCGUUAUUCGGAAUUAUUGGGCGUAAAGGGCGCGUAGGCGGCUUGAUGUGUCAAAGGUGAAAUCCCUCGGCUCAACUGAGGAACUGCCUUUGAAACUGUCUGGCUUGAGGCCGGGAGAGGGUAGCGGAAUUCCCAGUGUAGCGGUGAAAUGCGUAGAUACUGGGAGGAACACCGGUGGCGAAGGCGGCUACCUGGACCGGUAUUGACGCUGAGGCGCGAAAGCCAGGGGAGCAAACGGG